This 478-nucleotide ribosomal RNA is filed under the name uncultured bacterium. Its description in RNAcentral is "partial 16S ribosomal RNA". It matches the Rfam family "Bacterial small subunit ribosomal RNA", at positions 28 to 507 of the family's 1533-position model. The record is from RNAcentral.
GAUGAACGCUGGCGGCGUGCUUAACACAUGCAAGUCGAACGAGAAGUGGAGACGGAAACCUUCGGGCGGAAGACUUUACUUCGAGUGGCGGACGGGUGAGUAACGCGUGGGUAACCUGCCUCAUACAGGGGGAUAACAGUUGGAAACGACUGUUAAUACCGCAUAAGACCACAGCAUCGCAUGGUGCGGGGGUAAAAACUCCGGUGGUAUGAGAUGGACCCGCGUUCGAUUAGCCAGUUGGCGGGGUAACGGCCCACCAAAGCGACGAUCGAUAGCCGAUCUGAGAGGAUGACCGGCCACAUUGGGACUGAGACGCGGCCCAAACUCCUACGGGAGGCAGCAGUGGGGAAUAUUGCACAAGGGGGGAAACCCUGAUGCAGCGACGCCGCGUGAGUGAAGAAGUAUUUCGGUAUGUAAAGCUCUAUCAGCAGGGAAGAAAAUGACAGUACCUGAGUAAGAAGCCCCGGCUAACUACGUG